RNAcentral lists this transfer RNA (72 nucleotides) under Nitrososphaerota archaeon. RNAcentral describes it as "tRNA-Ala". It matches the Rfam family "tRNA". Rfam says of the family: Transfer RNA (tRNA) molecules are approximately 80 nucleotides in length. Their secondary structure includes four short double-helical elements and three loops (D, anti-codon, and T loops). Lineage: Archaea; Thermoproteati; Nitrososphaerota. The record is from RNAcentral.
GGGCUGGUAGAUCAGCGGAAGAUCGCUACCUUGGCAAGGUAGAGGCCGCGAGUUCAAAUCUCGCCCAGUCCA